RNAcentral lists this unclassified non-coding RNA (349 nucleotides) under soil metagenome. RNAcentral's name for it is "partial contains 5.8S ribosomal RNA, internal transcribed spacer 2, and large subunit ribosomal RNA". The stretch from base 5 to 119 matches the Rfam family "5.8S ribosomal RNA", at positions 40 to 154 of the family's 154-position model. The record is from RNAcentral.
GAUGAGAACGUAGCGAAAUGCGAUAAGUAAUGUGAAUUGCAGAAUUCAGUGAAUCAUCGAAUCUUUGAACGCACAUUGCGCCCGCCAGUAUUCUGGCGGGCAUGCCUGUUCGAGCGUCAUUUCAACCCUCAAGCCCAGCUUGGUGUUGGGGAUCGGCACAGGCGCCCUCGGGCGCCCGCCGUCCCCUAAAUCUAGUGGCGGUCCCGCUGCAGCCUCCUCUGCGUAGUAGUUUUCUCCUCGCAAGGGCAGCUCGGUGGCGACCUCGCCGUAAAACCCCCAACUUCUGAAAGGUUGACCUCGAAUCAGGUAGGAAUACCCGCUGAACUUAAGCAUAUCAAUAAGCGGAGGA